RNAcentral lists this ribosomal RNA (253 nucleotides) under uncultured bacterium. RNAcentral's name for it is "partial 16S ribosomal RNA". It matches the Rfam family "Bacterial small subunit ribosomal RNA", at positions 524 to 776 of the family's 1533-position model. The record is from RNAcentral.
GACAGAGGUGCCGAGCGUUAGGCGGAAUCACUGGGCUUAAAGCGUGUGUAGGCGGACUUCUAAGUACCUUGUGAAAUCCCACGGCUCAACCGUGGAACUGCUUGGUAUACUGGUUGUCUUGAGCCACUUAGGGGCAGUCGGAACAGACGGUGGAGCGGUGAAAUGCGUAGAUAUCGUCUGGAACGCCAAAGGUGAAAACAGACUGCUGGGAGUGUGCUGACGCUGAGACGCGAAAGCGUGGGGAGCGAACAGG